UAUGACUACAUUUUAAUGCUUUAAAGCUUCAUUUACUGACUGUUUACUUACAUAAGGAAUAACUGCAUAAAUAAAAAGACAUGGCUGUUAUGGUCGAUGUGUUAAAAGAAAUGUCCAUAAGUUUCUAGAGGACACACACCUUCAUUUGUGGAGAUGUGUGAUUAAUGCUGUGAUAACAAUAACUGCUUCCUGUUAAAUAUUUAAACACAUUUGAUAUUCAUUGUUACAAAUACCAACAACUUUAAGCCUCUCUAUAAUGGUUUUAAUGCGGUAAGUGAAUAGAUGAGGAUCAGAGGGUUGGUGGGAAUGAACUCGUUCAGAAUUUAAAGAAAUGACAGGUUUGUCUUUUUAAUUCAGUGAUUAAAAAUCACAAACUAAUUGUGCAGCUAUUGCUUGAGAAAAUCAGGGUUUUGCUCUUUCCUCCAAUUCUAAAAGCUAUUGGAAAGAGGCAUUCAUGCUUGACCAGAGGUCGCCUCUGCGCUGGUGUUUACUUUCUCAGAUAUUAUGUGAACACUUACAACUGGUGCAAAUGGUGGUGGCAUUUGCAUUUUACCCCAAGCUUUCAGACACUAAACGUUAGCGGAAGGGAUCCACGCAGAGGCUUCGCAGGGCCAGCGGCGUGGAACGUUUUUGCUCCCAUUUCGCUCCUGGUUGGAAGAGAGCUCGCGGCAUCACUCCACUCGCUAUCUCCUCAAGACUGAUGAUUGUGCAGCAGCGUCUGACAAACAGAUGAGGGGAAACCAGGGAAGCACAUUCUUCUUUCCUUCUUGAUGAAUGGAAAACCUGCAAAUGAAACUGGAAUAGAGUGUAGUGGCUUAUCAAGUGUAACUUCUGUGUUUGCUUGGCAGGGGCAUGCGAGCUGUUUGAACAUCAGUCACGUUCUGAAUGUGGCUCUACAUCCAACGGCAAAGCAGCCCAUGCCCAUGUACAAUAUGUUAUCCCAGAGGAAGCAGAGAGAGGAUGUCAGAUACAAUAUGACAAGAGCACAGGCAGAUGUGUAUGAGAGCGUGGAGCUGGGCCAGAGAAGCAUAAAACCUGGACGUGUCUGAUGCAAGCAUCACAGAGAGGAUGGUGGUCCAGUCAGAUCAUCCUAUUAAACCUGAAUAGAAAAUAUUAGAUUUACAAUUAAUAAGAGAAUAGAUUUUAGAUUAAAACUAUCACAUAGCCUCUUCAAAGCAAACAGAUUGUGCACGAUUGCACAGAAUUUAAUCACUUCAGCCCUGAAUGAGACUGGA
This is a long non-coding RNA of Nothobranchius furzeri (turquoise killifish), 1235 nucleotides long. RefSeq lists it as uncharacterized. The record is from RefSeq and is a predicted model, not a curated record. Lineage: Eukaryota; Metazoa; Chordata; Actinopteri; Cyprinodontiformes; Nothobranchiidae.